This 1870-nucleotide ribosomal RNA is filed under the name Klebsiella pneumoniae UCI 59. Its description in RNAcentral is "bacterial LSU rRNA". It matches the Rfam family "Bacterial large subunit ribosomal RNA", at positions 1076 to 2925 of the family's 2925-position model. The record is from RNAcentral. Lineage: Bacteria; Pseudomonadati; Pseudomonadota; Gammaproteobacteria; Enterobacterales; Enterobacteriaceae.
UGGGAAGGCACAGACAGCCAGGAUGUUGGCUUAGAAGCAGCCAUCAUUUAAAGAAAGCGUAAUAGCUCACUGGUCGAGUCGGCCUGCGCGGAAGAUGUAACGGGGCUAAACCAUGCACCGAAGCUGCGGCAGCGACACUAUGUGUUGUUGGGUAGGGGAGCGUUCUGUAAGCCUGCGAAGGUGUGCUGUGAGGCAUGCUGGAGGUAUCAGAAGUGCGAAUGCUGACAUAAGUAACGAUAAAGCGGGUGAAAAGCCCGCUCGCCGGAAGACCAAGGGUUCCUGUCCAACGUUAAUCGGGGCAGGGUGAGUCGACCCCUAAGGCGAGGCCGAAAGGCGUAGUCGAUGGGAAACAGGUUAAUAUUCCUGUACUUGGUGUUACUGCGAAGGGGGGACGGAGAAGGCUAUGUUAGCCGGGCGACGGUUGUCCCGGUUUAAGCAUGUAGGCUGGUUAUCCAGGCAAAUCCGGAUAACCAAGGCUGAGGUGUGAUGACGAGGCACUACGGUGCUGAAGUAACAAAUGCCCUGCUUCCAGGAAAAGCCUCUAAGCAUCAGGUAACAUCAAAUCGUACCCCAAACCGACACAGGUGGUCAGGUAGAGAAUACCAAGGCGCUUGAGAGAACUCGGGUGAAGGAACUAGGCAAAAUGGUGCCGUAACUUCGGGAGAAGGCACGCUGGUGUGUAGGUGAAGUCCCUGCGGAUGGAGCUGAGACCAGUCGAAGAUACCAGCUGGCUGCAACUGUUUAUUAAAAACACAGCACUGUGCAAACACGAAAGUGGACGUAUACGGUGUGACGCCUGCCCGGUGCCGGAAGGUUAAUUGAUGGGGUUAUCCGUAAGGAGAAGCUCUUGAUCGAAGCCCCGGUAAACGGCGGCCGUAACUAUAACGGUCCUAAGGUAGCGAAAUUCCUUGUCGGGUAAGUUCCGACCUGCACGAAUGGCGUAAUGAUGGCCAGGCUGUCUCCACCCGAGACUCAGUGAAAUUGAACUCGCUGUGAAGAUGCAGUGUACCCGCGGCAAGACGGAAAGACCCCGUGAACCUUUACUAUAGCUUGACACUGAACAUUGAGCCUUGAUGUGUAGGAUAGGUGGGAGGCUUUGAAGCGUGGACGCCAGUCUGCGUGGAGCCAACCUUGAAAUACCACCCUUUAAUGUUUGAUGUUCUAACGUUGGCCCCUGACCGGGGUUGCGGACAGUGUCUGGUGGGUAGUUUGACUGGGGCGGUCUCCUCCCAAAGCGUAACGGAGGAGCACGAAGGUUAGCUAAUCCUGGUCGGACAUCAGGAGGUUAGUGCAAUGGCAUAAGCUAGCUUGACUGCGAGCGUGACGGCGCGAGCAGGUGCGAAAGCAGGUCAUAGUGAUCCGGUGGUUCUGAAUGGAAGGGCCAUCGCUCAACGGAUAAAAGGUACUCCGGGGAUAACAGGCUGAUACCGCCCAAGAGUUCAUAUCGACGGCGGUGUUUGGCACCUCGAUGUCGGCUCAUCACAUCCUGGGGCUGAAGUAGGUCCCAAGGGUAUGGCUGUUCGCCAUUUAAAGUGGUACGCGAGCUGGGUUUAGAACGUCGUGAGACAGUUCGGUCCCUAUCUGCCGUGGGCGCUGGAGAAUUGAGGGGGGCUGCUCCUAGUACGAGAGGACCGGAGUGGACGCAUCACUGGUGUUCGGGUUGUCAUGCCAAUGGCACUGCCCGGUAGCUAAAUGCGGAAGAGAUAAGUGCUGAAAGCAUCUAAGCACGAAACUUGCCCCGAGAUGAGUUCUCCCUGAGACUUUAAGUCUCCUGAAGGAACGUUAAAGACGAUGACGUUGAUAGGCCGGGUGUGUAAGCGCAGCGAUGCGUUGAGCUAACCGGUACUAAUGAACCGUGAGGCUUAACCUU